RNAcentral lists this ribosomal RNA (418 nucleotides) under Escherichia coli. RNAcentral describes it as "partial 23S ribosomal RNA". It matches the Rfam family "Bacterial large subunit ribosomal RNA", at positions 2223 to 2640 of the family's 2925-position model. The record is from RNAcentral. Lineage: Bacteria; Pseudomonadati; Pseudomonadota; Gammaproteobacteria; Enterobacterales; Enterobacteriaceae.
UAACGUUGACCCGUAAUCCGGGUUGCGGACAGUGUCUGGUGGGUAGUUUGACUGGGGCGGUCUCCUCCUAAAGAGUAACGGAGGAGCACGAAGGUUGGCUAAUCCUGGUCGGACAUCAGGAGGUUAGUGCAAUGGCAUAAGCCAGCUUGACUGCGAGCGUGACGGCGCGAGCAGGUGCGAAAGCAGGUCAUAGUGAUCCGGUGGUUCUGAAUGGAAGGGCCAUCGCUCAACGGAUAAAAGGUACUCCGGGGAUAACAGGCUGAUACCGCCCAAGAGUUCAUAUCGACGGCGGUGUUUGGCACCUCGAUGUCGGCUCAUCACAUCCUGGGGCUGAAGUAGGUCCCAAGGGUAUGGCUGUUCGCCAUUUAAAGUGGUACGCGAGCUGGGUUUAGAACGUCGUGAGACAGUUCGGUCCCUA